This 501-nucleotide ribosomal RNA is filed under the name uncultured bacterium. RNAcentral describes it as "partial 16S ribosomal RNA". It matches the Rfam family "Bacterial small subunit ribosomal RNA", at positions 30 to 523 of the family's 1533-position model. The record is from RNAcentral.
AUUGAACGCUGGCGGCAUGCCUUACACAUGCAAGUCGAACGGCAGCACGGGUGCUUGCACCUGGUGGCGAGCGGCGAACGGGUGAGUAAUAUAUCGGAACGUACCUUAUUGUGGGGGAUAACGCAGCGAAAGCUGUGCUAAUACCGCAUAAUCCCUAAGGGGGAAAGCGGGGGACCGUAAGGCCUCGCGCAAUUAGAGCGGCCGAUACCUGAUUAGCUAGUUGGUGAGGUAAAGGCUCACCAAGGCAACGAUCAGUAGCUGGUCUGAGAGGACGAACAGCCACACUGGGACUUGGACACGGCCCAGACUCCUAAGGGAGGGCGGAGGGGGGAAUUUUGGGCAAAUGGGGCAAACCUGAUUCAGGCAUGGCGGGUGAGUGAAGAAGGCCUUCGGGUUGUAAAGCUCUUUUGUCAGGGAAGAAACAGCAGCUCUAACACAGUUUGCGAAUGACGGUACCUGAAGAAUAAGCACCGGCUAACUACGUGCCAGCAGCCGCCGUAA